Molecule: ribosomal RNA, 464 nt
Filed under: uncultured bacterium
Lineage: Bacteria
Description: partial 16S ribosomal RNA
Rfam family: Bacterial small subunit ribosomal RNA
Source: RNAcentral
ACGAACGCUGGCGGCUUGCUUAACACAUGCAAGUCGUACGGUAAGGCCCUUUCGGGGGUACACGAGUGGCGAACGGGUGAGUAACACGUGAGUAACCUGCCCACAACUUUGGGAUAACGCUAGGAAACUGGUGCUAAUACUGGAUAUGUGCUCCUGCUGCAUGGUGGGGGUUGGAAAGCUCCGGCGGUUGUGGAUGGACUCGCGGCCUAUCAGCUUGUUGGUGGGGUAGUGGCCUACCAAGGCGGCGACGGGUAGCCGGCCUGAGAGGGUGACCGGCCACAUUGGGACUGAGAUACGGCCCAGACUCCUACGGGAGGCAGCAGUGGGGAAUAUUGCACAAUGGGCGCAAGCCUGAUGCAGCAACGCCGCGUGCGGGAUGACGGCCUUCGGGUUGUAAACCGCUUUCAGCAGGGACGAAGCUUUUUGUGACGGUACCUGCAGAAGAAGCACCGGCUAACUACGUG